RNAcentral lists this ribosomal RNA (450 nucleotides) under uncultured bacterium. Its description in RNAcentral is "partial 16S ribosomal RNA". It matches the Rfam family "Bacterial small subunit ribosomal RNA", at positions 354 to 796 of the family's 1533-position model. The record is from RNAcentral.
GUGGGGAAUAUUGGACAAUGGGCGAAAGCCUGAUCCAGCCAUGCCGCGUGUGUGAAGAAGGUCUUCGGAUUGUAAAGCACUUUAAGUUGGGAGGAAGGGCAUUAAGUUAAUACCUUGCUGUUUUGACGUUACCGACAGAAUAAGCACCGGCUAACUUCGUGCCAGCAGCCGCGGUAAUACGAAGGGCGCAAGCGUUAAUCGGAAUUACUGGGCGUAAAGCGCGCGUAGGUGGUUUUGUAAGUUGGAGGUGAAAUCCCCGGGCUCAACCUGGGAACUGCCUCCAAAACUGCAUGACUAGAGUACGGUAGAGGGUAGUGGAAUUUCCUGUGUAGCGGUGAAAUGCGUAGAUAUAGGAAGGAACACCAGUGGCGAAGGCGACUACCUGGACUGAUACUGACACUGAGGUGCGAAAGCGUGGGGAGCAAACAGGAUUAGAUACCCUAGUAGUCC